UGACCCCGAUUGCUCCCAAGAAGAAGAAUUGCCAAAGAAGGGAAUUAGCUGAGAGAAUCACGUAGUAUGUCACUUCCCCGAGCUCAAAGUUCCUUGCUUCUACAAAAGACAGUCGCAAAGAACGACAUAACGAUCUGCAUCUCCAUAACCAAGGAGUAAGUAAUGGGUUGUUUAGCUUUCUUGAAAGUUAACUCUAUCGAUGGUAGAAUGAAGCCAUACAAAGCCGAAGCUCCUAAUGUCAUGAAAAAACCUUCAUAGUACUUGAUGUUAGAUUCAUGAUCGGGCCGAUCAGUGCUGGAAUGAAGUGCAAGAAUCACAGCACCAAUAGAAAGCAAAACCACAGCAUUGAUUGUAUAAGCAGAAAACUUUUGUUUCACCAAAAGAAACGCAAAUCCAGCAGUAAACGCUAACUGGGUGGCGAUUAUCAAAGCAGAUGUCGAAACUGGUAAACGAGACACGCCAUAAGCAGCCAGAUAAUCAUCUAAACCGGUCAAAACUCCAAGAAUUGCACAAGGAAAGAAGACAGAUGGCUUCAAAGAGAUCAGCUUGGUUUCUUGGCUUCCAUUUCUUUUUUUGUACAAAAAAGAACAAAUUAGUGGGAUGAUUAAAAACGGCCAGCCCGCUGUUAGCAAAAAGCUCGAUA
This 643-nucleotide long non-coding RNA is filed under the name Helianthus annuus (common sunflower). RNAcentral describes it as "hypothetical non coding rna". Lineage: Eukaryota; Viridiplantae; Streptophyta; Magnoliopsida; Asterales; Asteraceae. The record is from RNAcentral.